This 253-nucleotide ribosomal RNA is filed under the name uncultured bacterium. RNAcentral describes it as "partial 16S ribosomal RNA". It matches the Rfam family "Bacterial small subunit ribosomal RNA", at positions 524 to 776 of the family's 1533-position model. The record is from RNAcentral.
UACGUAGGGGGCAAGCGUUGUCCGGAAUCAUUGGGCGUAAAGCGCGUGUAGGCGGCCCGGUAAGUCCGCUGUGAAAGUCCAGGGCUCAACCCUGGAAUGCCGGUGGAUACUGUCGGGCUCGAGUCCGGAAGAGGCGAGUGGAAUUCCUGGUGUAGCGGUGAAAUGCGCAGAUAUCAGGAGGAACACCGGUGGCGAAGGCGGCUUUCUGGACAGAAACUGACGCUGAUGCGCGAAAGCUAGGGGAGCAAACAGG